GAUGAACGCUGGCGGCGUGCUUAACACAUGCAAGUCGAACGAUGAAGCCCAGCUUGCUGGGUGGAUUAGUGGCGAACGGGUGAGUAACACGUGAGUAACCUGCCCUUAACUCUGGGAUAAGCCUGGGAAACUGGGUCUAAUACCGGACAGGAGCGUCCACCGCACGGAGGGUGUUGGAAAGAUUUAUCGGUUUUGGAUGGACUAGCGGCCUAUCAGCUUGUUGGUGAGGUAAUGGCUCACCAAGGCGACGACGGGUAGCCGGCCUGAGAGGGUGACCGGCCACACUGGGACUGAGACACGGCCCAGACUCCUACGGGAGGCAGCAGUGGGGAAUAUUGCACAAUGGGCGCAAGCCUGAUGCAGCGACGCCGCGUGAGGGAUGACGGCCUUCGGGUUGUAAACCUCUUUCAGUAGGGAAGAAGCGAAAGUGACGGUACCUGCAGAAGAAGCACCGGCUAACUACGUG
Molecule: ribosomal RNA, 466 nt
Filed under: uncultured bacterium
Lineage: Bacteria
Description: partial 16S ribosomal RNA
Rfam family: Bacterial small subunit ribosomal RNA
Source: RNAcentral